Zingiber officinale is the source of this 975-nucleotide long non-coding RNA. RefSeq lists it as uncharacterized. The record is from RefSeq and is a predicted model, not a curated record. The transcript has 3 exons. NCBI's taxonomy places the organism in Eukaryota, Viridiplantae, Streptophyta, Magnoliopsida, Zingiberales, Zingiberaceae.
CUUGGUGCGGAACGGUGCGGCGCCGCUGACCUGGACGCCUACGUCAAAUAAGUUGCGUUAAAAUGGCUUGGUGAGAAAACUCGUUCCUCUCCUCCCGCGAUCUAGGGUUUCCCGUUGCUCACCCUUCUCUGCCGAAGCUCCUCCCUCACUCUCGCCGCCUCCCUCUCUCGUCGAGCUACAGCUCCUUCUCCGCGGCGCCUCCCUCUCUCGCGACGAGCACCACCUUCGCCGCGACGACUCCCUCUCUCGCGACGAGCAGCUCCUUCGCCGCGACACGACGCCUCCCUCUCUCGCGACGCCUCCCUCUGCGUCGAGCUCUCUCGCUGCAACUCGUGACUCUCCUCCCCACCGCAACAUCCUCUCAGGUAUAAUUAGAGAAAAUUCAUGGCAGCUGGUUCUUCAUCAUCAUCAUCUUCCACUCGACGGCGUAUGAAUGACGAGCAAUGUGAAGCUCCCCACAUAUUAUGUUAUUGUGGAUUACGAGCUAUUCUCCAGACAUCAUGGACCGAAUCAAAUCUAGGAAUGCGAUUUUUUUCAUGUCCAAAAUAUAGAGAAAGAGGAUGUGGCUUUUUCUUAUGGCAUGAUCCAGAACCAUCACAGAGAAGUAAGACAAUUAUUAAUGAGUUGAAGUGGAAUAACAAAAAAUUAAAGUUGGAGAUUAGUGAAUUAAAGAAAUGUGCUAGUUACAAUGGUGAAGCUGAUUAUAAUGAUGUUUUGGAUGAUGGAAAAACAAUUAUGCAACUAAGCAGUUGAGUGAUGAAAUAUCUUCAUUGAAUAGGAAAUUUAGAAUUGCUAUCAUGGUAAUUGUAUGUACUUGGAUUGUGAUGAUGUGGAUGUGGUUGAUGUAACUUGUGUUGUGAUGUUACUUGACAUUGUGAUGUAACUCUAUGUGGUGUAACUUGUUUUCUUAUGUAACUUGUUUUGUUUCGUGGUUACAAUUUCAAGAUGGUCCUAUUAUUGAUCCUAAGCUUGAAA